RNAcentral lists this long non-coding RNA (222 nucleotides) under Sorghum bicolor (sorghum). RNAcentral's name for it is "long non-coding RNA (SBIC_LNC015699)". Lineage: Eukaryota; Viridiplantae; Streptophyta; Magnoliopsida; Poales; Poaceae. The record is from RNAcentral.
CAGGAAGUGUUGUAAAUGAGCACUAGCAUCUUCGUGUGCCUUCCCACAGAACUGGUUGGAUUGCACCAUGUUGAUAAGUCCAGGCUUGAGCUCAAAGUUGCCGUCGAUCUCUGCAGCAGGUCCAGUGCAGAUGUUGUCCGUAGUGGGAGCUGAGAACUCGCAGAUUGAUUUGUUCGCCAUGGCUUCGAACUCUGAAGAAAAGUUCCGGUGAUCUUUUUGAUU